RNAcentral lists this ribosomal RNA (518 nucleotides) under uncultured bacterium. RNAcentral describes it as "bacterial SSU rRNA". It matches the Rfam family "Bacterial small subunit ribosomal RNA", at positions 30 to 543 of the family's 1533-position model. The record is from RNAcentral.
UGAACGCUGGCGGCAUGCCUUACACAUGAAGCCAAGCGGUAACGCGGGGCAACCUGGCGACGAGUGGCGAACGGGUGAGUAAUAUAUCGGAACGUGCCCAAUAGUGGGGGAUAGCCCGGCGAAAGCCGGAUUAAUACCGCAUGAGACCUGAGGGUGAAAGCGGGGGCUUCGCAAGAACCUCGCGCUAAUGGAGCGGCCGAUAUCAUAUUAGGUAGUUGGUGGGGUAAAAGCCUACCAAGCCGACGAUCUGUAGCUGGUCUGAGAGGACGACCAGCCACACUGGGACUGAGACACGGCCCAGACUCCUACGGGAGGCAGCAGUGGGGAAUUUUGGACAAUGGGCGCAAGCCUGAUCCAGCCAUGCCGCGUGCGGGAAGAAGGCCUUCGGGUUGUAAACCGCUUUUGUCAGGGAUGAAAUCCUUUGAGUUAAUACCUCGAAUGGAUGACGGUACCUGAAGAAUAAGCACCGGCUAACUACGUGCCACCAGCCGCGGUAAUACGUAGGGUGCGAGCGUUAA